This 253-nucleotide ribosomal RNA is filed under the name uncultured prokaryote. RNAcentral's name for it is "partial 16S ribosomal RNA". It matches the Rfam family "Bacterial small subunit ribosomal RNA", at positions 524 to 776 of the family's 1533-position model. The record is from RNAcentral.
GACAUGUGGGGCAAGCGUUGUUCGGAAUCACUGGGCAUAAAGGGUGCGUAGGCGGCUUGUUAAGUCAGAGGUGAAAGUUUUCGGCCCAACCGGAAAAUGGCCUUUGAUACUGGCGAGCUGGAGUGCGUGAGGGGUGACUGGAACGAGUGGUGUAGCGGUGAAAUGCGUAGAUAUCACUCGGAAGGCCAAAGGCGAAGGCAGGUCACUGGUACGCAACUGACGCUGAGGCACGAAAGCGUGGGGAGCAAACAGG